Molecule: long non-coding RNA, 5632 nt
Organism: Salvelinus fontinalis (brook trout)
Lineage: Eukaryota; Metazoa; Chordata; Actinopteri; Salmoniformes; Salmonidae
Exons: 9
Source: RefSeq, a predicted model, not a curated record
CGCUAAUGUCAGGUCUCCCCGGUAUGAACAUGUGAUGCAAGGGAUAAUAAUUAACGUUCAACUGGGACCACUGGCUGGAGUGAUUUCUUUGAACAAAACACAAUGCAAGGAGAGUAUGAUUAACAUCUGUUACACUGGUGCCGUGACCCGGAUCCUUGUCUUUGCUGGAAGUCACGUGGAGAAGGUGGUUGCUGAUGAACACCAGAGGCCUAACAUAUGGAACACCGUUUGGGUCAUAAACCAAUCUUUUUAAUCCUACGUGUGUAAAGUAAGCAGGUGCUAAAUUAACACGUUCACGUAUUAAGUUAAUGUCUUCAUGCACUAAGUUAAUGCCUACAUGCAUCAAAUAAGCCUGCUUGCAGGCAGUCCAACGUGCUAAAUAAGUGGUCCUGCACACAUCAAAUUAAUGCCGACAGCUGCUAACUACACCUACACACGCUAACUUAACGCAUUCUUUAACAUGCACAUUUUCCAGCCAAUUUCCCUAGCUCCUCCUUUCAAUCAGAUUUCAUUAAUCGGUGUACAGUAAGUGUGAUGCAACAACACAUGUCACGUUUGCUGUCUUCAAACUCCCUAUCAUAAAUGAGCCAAGGCGCAGCGUGCAUGUAAUUCCACAUCUUUAAUCGACGUGAAACCUUUCACAAAAAAAAACAGGUAAACAGAAUCAGAACGUGACGCAACCGUGACGCACACAAACACUCACCGAAAAUAAAUAAUUACCCACAAACACAGGUGGGAAAAGGCUGCCUAAGUAUGAUUCCCAAUCAGAGACAAUGAUAGACAGCUGCCUCUGAUUGGGAACCAUACCCGGCCAACAAAGAAAUAGAAAACUAGAAUGCCCACCCAAAUCACACCCUGACCUAACCAAAGAGAGAAAUAAAAAGACUCUCUAAGGUCAAGGCAUGACAACACCACAAUUGAAGAUGACGAGAAGAACCUUACUUAUCCGCUGCAAACAGACUCUAAAUGACUGCACUCGGCUUCUGCUCUCCGAAAAUCCUGGAUUUGAUGCCCUUCAGUCCACGUUAACAAGUGUGUCUUAGAUGGCAGACGUUCUACAUGUGUCCCGAUCGACAGUCAAAUGUCGUCUAAGACACUUCAAUCUGUCACAUGCACCGUUAUAUUCUGACAUGUCAGACUUGGCUCUGAAAGAAAAUAUUUAGGAUUUGGUGGCUGGGAACGACAAACUUGGACCGGAGGCUGUUCGAGCACAAUUAAGGGCUCCGUAAUACAAUGAUUCCAGACACUGCCAUAUUCCUCCCCCCAAUGGGAAAAGAAGGGAGUGACUAGAGUACAGAAAUAGUGGAGCCCUUCUCCCUUUCUGAUAUUCUGCAUAUUAUGAAAGUAAAUAAAACAUCUUAUUUAUCUAUGUUACCUAACUAAUUCUGAUUCAGCUACGACAGGGUGCAGAGACGCAGAGAGGGACAGCAUGCUUCGUGUUAACCCGAGGGCGUCUGCCCUCAGAACCAUGUCGCAGAGGCUGCAUAGAAGGUCAUACCGUGUUGCUGGACCAAUCUCGUUAUGGCACCUUGAUGGAAACCACAAACUGAUAAGGUAGAUGUAUCUUUGUGAUAGACACAAUUAUCUAUAUCACUGGUGAGAAGUUGUAACAUCGCAAAUUGUUCAUCAACAACUUGUUCAUCAACAACUAACAGUUCAGUUUAGCAAGCAAUGGCCCUUGAUACCAUAUGUCACUCAUGUGAAUAAUAAUAGUUUUAUUGUGUUUCUGCUACUUCUGUGAUUGAUUAGACUAUCUGCAUCAUGAAAUUAACAAACAUGCUUAUAUUGAGGACAUACGGAGGCAAAAACAGUUGGCGCAAAGUAUUUGUGCCUAAGUGUGAACAACAGGAGAGUCUGUCCUCUUGACUCUUCAAGAUAAACGUGGUUAUUUUUCCAAUUGAAGUAGAUAUUGUAAUCACACGUCUUCUGCUGCAGGAAACAGUCUCGAACAAACCCUUGUUGUAGCCUUGAGAGGGCUAACGGAAGUACUUAUAGUUGUGAUCCGCGUUACAUUGUUCAUUAACUUUGUUCCAGAUUUUGGAUGUUAAUUUAGUAUUUGGUCUGCUGCUUUUGUUAUAUACUGUAGGAACCUGAUGCAGCGUCUAAGUGGUAAAGGAGGAUGGUGAUGUUUGUAUGUUUAAUGUGUCUUCAUCUUUUGUAUCAACCAGUGCUGUAUUUUCUGAUUUUGGUGGAGGAUAGUCAUACAUGGUGGCAUUGAUGGGUACAGUUGCCUCGUUGUGUUUCUCCGUGCGUCCAGAAACAAUCGCAGCAGUUCUGUAAUGGAUUGCUUCAUGAAUGCUGUCUCCAGAUAUGGCGUUCCCUCCCGAGUCAGGACGGACCAUGAAGGAGAAAAAACGUUCUGCUUGUUGAAUACUACUUCUAUGACAGACUACUUCUACGAGGCUACACUUGUGGCAGCACCUAUUCCUGUGCACCCCCAACUUCUGCAUCACUUCCUGUGGCCUCCCCUCCACCAUUCCCUGAGGCUUAUCAUCCACCUUCACCACACUUGUCUGUUGAUGUUGGUGAUGAUGACAAUGAUGUUGACCUGCAAACACUGCUGAAGUUAAUGAGCAGCAAGGUUGACUCUGCUUUUGCCCCUGAUGCCAACCAAAUUAACGUGAUCAGGGACAACGUUUAUGAUUGUGCAAUGAGAGGAUUUAAGAGAACCCGCUUUAAUCCGGAGGCAAAAAUAGACAUGGUUUUUAUGGAUGCUGACGGAAAAGGGGCAGCUGAUGAGAGUGGUCCCUCGAGAAUUUCUCCGGGUGCUAAUGUGUGCCAUCCAUUCCUCUGCAAUAUUUGAGGGACCUGAUUGGCAAAAAUGCCUUUCUUGCAACUCUCAAGCAUUCUAUAAUGGCGUAUACAAGCAGGGGGAAACACAUACCCUUUAACCCUGGAGAAGGUUUUCAUUUUCACUUCGGGGGCUUCAGCAUUCCUAGGCUGGGAUUGCCAGUGGAGCCACAGCUACAGUUCUCUCUGCUACAGCACGGCAAGCGGUACCGGAGCGCCAAGUCUAGGUCCAAGAGGCUUCUAAACAGAUUUUAACCCAAGCCAUAAGACUACUGAACAUCUAAUCAAAUGGCUACCCAGACUUAUUUGAUGCUACUCUGUUAUUAUCGGUGCAUAGUCACUUUAAUAUCUCUACCUACAUGUAUAUAUUACCUCGACUAACCGGUGCCCCUGCACAUUGACUCUAUACCAGUACCCCCUGUAUAUAGCCUCGCUAUUGUUAUUUUACUGCUGUUCUUUAAUUAUUUGUUACUUUAGUUUUUUUUUUAAACUGCAUUGUUGGUUAAGGGCUUGUAAAUAAGCAUUUCACUGUAAGGUAUACUGCACCUGUUGUAUUCGGUGCAUGUGACAAAUACAAUUUGAUUUAAAGGGAAUUCAUUAAAGGGGAAUUAUCCUAAAUGUUUAUUGCAUGACUACCAAGUAAGUUUGGAAUACUGCAGCCAAUGUUAAUUGGUGAUGUGUCCCUAAAGGAUUGGUAUUAUGAAAGUUUCCGACAGGAUUGUCCAUCAGCAACAACAAAAAAGGUGUGCCGUGAAAGUUUAAGAAAACAUUACAACCAACCAGAGUCAAUUUGACACAGUAAUACAUAAUGCAGCUUUAAUAUUUCAAUAAAUGUAUGAUUUCUUAGUGGGUAAACUGAGCAUUAUGAACAGCAGUUAAGUCAUGUAUGUCAAGGGACUAUGUUACAAUAUGUGCAAUGUUACCAUAAAUAUUACAGUAAAUAUGGCCAUUCCAUUUACAUGUGUUAUGGCAAUAAAAACAGACUCUGUAGUUGGUACAUAGGUCGUGGUGCAGCAAGUUGACGAGGAAAGUGGAGAAGCACUGGUGGGACUUUGAGUGAAGUGACUGAGGGCAGAAAAGGAUGUCAGGGUGCCCAGGAACUUGAAGCUGCUGAUCAACUCCAUGUCAAUGUACAGUAGAUGGGAGAAUGGUCAUUAAGUCUCACCAUCUACUUUGUUUUGAUUACGCUGAGGCUGUUGUCCUAUCACCAUCGUGUCAGGUCCCACAGCUCCUUCAUGAUCACUGGGGAUCAGGUGUAUCAUGGUAGUGUUGUCAGCAUGUUUAGGUGUUGGGUCCAUUCUGGGGAUACACAUUCUUGUGAUAAUGUAAAAAAUCUAAUUUGUUAUUACAGGGUUUACACCCAGAGGCCUGAGUCUGCAAACCAGUUUGUGAGUCAAGAUGAUGUUGAAAGCAGAGUUAUAAAUGAAAACACACUCUGACUUAUGUAAAAUGUAUAAUUGACAUUUGUUGGGAGAAUAGGCAAACUGGAGUUGGUCCAGUGAAUUUUUGCUACCAUGUGCUACAUGAUAUCUAUUUGUUCCAGAUUUUAAAUCGAUAUCGACUGGGCUGCAGUGGAGAUGGUAAGAAGCUUCGAUAUCAUUGGGACCUAACUUCUAACGUCCUUUCCUGGUACACCCACACAGACGCUGCAGUCUAAAACCAGCUGCUCUCCAUCCUACGGUGGCUGAAGACGUUUUUCCUGACGUCAAACAUUAACAAGAGUGUCGGAUUGAAAAAUGUAAACAGAAACAUGAGCAGAUUACUUUUGUCAUCUUUACUGGCACAGUGGUUUUAAAAUAAUGUAUAAUUGUAGUCACUUUCAAUUGAGUCAUUGACUCCAAGAACCAUAGAUUGUUUGUAGUUCAUAACAUUAACACACAACUGACAUUAAAUGUUGCUUAACUGUAGAUUGGGAUACACGUUUGAAUAACAUUGGAUAUUUGAUUAGGCUUAAUGCUGCAUACCUUGCCGUGUUGUGCAUGCCAACCAAGUGCGAAUCACCAGAAUUAGCUAUGAUACUUGAUGAAUCAGGUCUUCUCUGCUGCGUUAUCAGCCUCUCCCUUGCCCACUCCAAGCUCCUCUUCAUGGUUCCCUUCUGCAAGACACAAUUGUGUGAAAAUAAAGCGAAAGGAAUGGGGACCCUAUUCCUUUGAAGCAGUAAUAUAUAGUACUGGGUAUAUGCCUGAAGUUAUUUUACCCUAAUAGGCUUUGAUGGAAUGUAAAUAUUCCAAAAACGAAGUGAACGUGCACAUUAAAGUCUACUCUGUUCGAAAGCUAUGUUGUAGAUGUUAGCAAAGGUUUUACAAGGUUGUCACUAGCCAAACUUGCUUUAUGUGAGCUUUCAGUGUCUUCAUGCUAAUCGCGAGCUAGCGUGGCUCACGCUAGCAUUGAAAUGACAGCCAGUCAGGCUGAAGAAGCUGCCUACCUUCAGCUGUUAUGCUUAAAUAUAAGGCUUUUGGCUAAAAACCUAACUCGAAAACAUGUCCUGCGUCAGUACUAGCCAAUAAGUCACAUUUAGGUAGCUUGUCUUCCUUUAGUCACUGACAAAAAGAAAAGUAAAGACAAUAGCCCAAAAAUCGGAGAACUACCAGGAUUUUGAGCAGGAUGUUUUUGGCAGUAUUUCCAUUGUCUAAUCUAUGUAUUCCUGGCCCUGCAUUCACUCAACAAUCUUGCUUGGGCACAAGGCAAGACCCAGAUGCAGACACAGGAGGCAGAUGGUUGGAGUGUUUAUUAAUCCAAAAAGGGGUAGGCAAGAGAAUGGUCGUGUACAGGCAAAAGGUCAAAACCAGUAGGUACCAAAGGGCAGGCAGGCGGGAAUGGAAUCCAUUAAACAGGCAAGGGU